RNAcentral lists this ribosomal RNA (301 nucleotides) under uncultured bacterium. RNAcentral's name for it is "partial 16S ribosomal RNA". It matches the Rfam family "Bacterial small subunit ribosomal RNA", at positions 509 to 807 of the family's 1533-position model. The record is from RNAcentral.
CAGUCGCCGCGGUAAUACGAAGGGGGCUAGCGUUGCUCGGAAUCACUGGGCGUAAAGGGUGCGUAGGCGGGUCUUUAAGUCAGGGGUGAAAUCCUGGAGCUCAACUCCAGAACUGCCUUUGAUACUGAAGAUCUUGAGUUCGGGAGAGGUGAGUGGAACUGCGAGUGUAGAGGUGAAAUUCGUAGAUAUUCGGAGGAACACCAGUGGCGAAGGCGGCUCACUGGCUCGAUACUGACGCUAAUGCGUGAAAGCGUGGGGAGCAAACAGGAUUAGAUACCCCCGUAGUCCCUGUCUCUUAUAC